This 5507-nucleotide long non-coding RNA is filed under the name Podarcis lilfordi (Lilford's wall lizard). The record is from RNAcentral. Lineage: Eukaryota; Metazoa; Chordata; Lepidosauria; Squamata; Lacertidae.
GUAUGCUGUGGGUGGAUUCUUGUUGUUGUCUUGUUGGGCUGUGUAUGUGAUAAGGGGGACCCAUACUGGGGUAAAGGAGUCCUAUUUGUCCCUGUGUCAGUUUCAGUUUAUUGGUUAGCUUUUCUAGUAAGGCUGUUUCCCAUACAAUUUGGUACCACUGGUCCAUGUUCCCUCCUGACAGGUCUCUCCAGUGCCUGGCUAUGAGGCUUCUGGCUGCUGAGAGUAUGUGGGUUAUAAGCUCUGAAUAAUGCGAGUGGUCAUUAUGAUCUUGGAAGGUGUUCAGUAGGGCCACUUCUGGAGAGAGUUCUAAUACCUGUUUAGUUAUUUUGCAUAUCUCUUGUAGGACUGCUAUUUCCUUACCUCUCUGAGGUUCUGUCAGGCAUUGACCAACACACUUCCAUGCCAUUAGAGCUAGAAACUGGACAAAUCCCAUAUCCUAAAUCAAAAUGAGGGAUCUAGGGCUGUCAAAGGGGUCGUGUGGUUGAAUGGGGAGGAGAGCAGGGGAGAGAAGUAGAUGAUGUAGGAAGAGGCUGUCAAUUUGGGGUCUAGCUAGGGCCGGGUUGGGCACAAAUCACUCUGGGUUAGACCUGGGCCUGAUCAGGAUGGCUGAAUUGAGCCCUGAACCAAUUCCUUGCCCAACCCUUCUAGAAACUUAAUAUUUAAUCAUUAUUUUUUAAAAAUGAAAGCUGAGAUUGUUAAGAGGCUGAGCCUGAACAUCAUUUUCAGUGCUUUUGUGCUUGCAUAGAACCACAACAUCCUUAUUAGGGAUGGGGGUGAAAUUCCAUUUGGUUUGCAUUUUAAGGAAGAACUCCCUAAUUCACAUGUGAGCUGAAACAUAGCUAUCUGUGAAAAUCCACACUUCUCUGAAGUUUGGUGAUGCUGUUCUCCCACCAAGCAAUGUAUACAAAAAUGCAAAUGGUUGGGGGCGGGGAUUGCAUUAAAGUGCAUAGAAUAAGAAAAAGCAACAUAUGAAAACAUCUUGCAUUAGGGGGAAUGACUUGUACAAAUGUGAAUAUUAGUCAAAAAUGACAUGAAGAAUCUGUUUCUUGGGAGAAAUUUGCACCAAAAUCCUAAGAAAUCUUUGUGAUGAUUUUUUUUUAAUGCAGAUAUGUGGCGUGUUGAAUUUAAGAUCAGAAAAAUGAAAAAUGGGGAGAAAUUGGAAAUCUGCCCAUCCUGAAUACACACAGACUUGAUAUGCAUGACCCUAUAUAAUGGAGAACCAUCUCUUUAACUAUGAAACCUUUUGCUUUCCAUAACUAAACACAUUAUUAGACAAAUGCCCCACUAUCAGAGUUGUAUCCUCACAGUGGCUGCUGCAGUUUUUCAUCUCUAUGCUCUUGCCAAAUCAACAGUGUGGGUCAGUCCCUCCUCACCACAUCCUGUGUCUGCUCUGUAAUGUGGCCACCCUGGGGAAUACCCCAGGAUCCUGCAGAGCAGCCUGCAUCUUUUUAAGGAUUCUUUGCUCUCACUUUGUUCUGACAUCUGAAAGGCAGGAGACCAUCCUGUUUCCUUUAUUGGGGUCAUCUGCCUUCCUUUUUUUUAUCCUCUCAGUCUCUGGGACUCUUCUAGUCACUUCUGUCCUACUGUCAGACUCCUCUGCAUGUCUCUUUCCCUUUUGAUUGUGGGUUGAGCUCCUUGCUUCCCUCAGUUCUUUCUCAAGGGAGGUCAGGAGGAGAACACUUUGCUGCAAUGCAUUAAGAUCAAAAAGUUCCACAUUGCUCUACCUGGCAAUCUUGCAAACAGGGAGGAAAGAGGAGAUAGCAGGAGAGGACCAUGAGGUUUAUAUGGUAGCCAUUGUUGGCUUGCAGUUUUCGGCUUUGGAUUCAGCCCAGAUUUGGGAAAGGGCCAUAGCUCAGUGGUUGAUCAUUUGUCUUGCAUGUAGAAGGUCACAGGUUCAGUUCCCAGCAGAGCUGGGAGGAGAGAACACCUUUCCCAAAACAUACCGACCAAAGUUAUUUUAGGACUUCUGCUUGAGAUCCUGGAUACUGUUGAGCACAUCAGUAGUAGGGCUUGCUCUCCAGGAUUUGAGAUGAGGAAUCUUUCCCCAGCCCUACCUGGAGAUGCCACUGGGAAUUGACCCAGGGGCCUUCUGCUUGUAAAGCAGGGGCACUAGGGCUGAGCAAUGGCCCUUCCCCAAAUAAUAAUAUGACCCUUCCUCUCCUGUAACAAGACUGACCUUUCUUGCAGGGCUGUUAGACUUUGUGAUGCACCUUGCAAUAAGCUAUAUCCACAAGCAACCAGAAGAAGCCCUUUUGGGAGGGUGGAUGCAGAAAUCCCAGCAAGGAAAACCUAGAAGCUGCUUUUGUAGCACUAUCUCCUGGGCCCUGGGCACCUGUUUGCCAGGUAAUUAAUUCUGGAGGGCAAAUCUCCAUUCCUUUAUCACAACAACAGCAUGGAGGGUACAUCUCUCCCCCCCUCCUUACCUUUUUUCUUUCCACGUUUUAGAGCUGAAAAGGGCUCCCUCCUCCUCUAGGGAGCAAUGGAACAGGCUUGUAAAGGAACCCGGGCCCCGCAAAACAAUAACAGUAAAUAACGCUCACCGUCAGUGUCAUAAAAAAUGGGGAAACGGUUACAAUGUUUUUUAAUAAGUGUCUCCCAUAAAUCUCCGUUUGGCAGGAGGGGGAGGCAGAAGGCAGUGAGCAUAGAGGCACUGGCUUGGAGGCAAUUUCAGGGGUAGGGUGGGGAGCAGUAUUGUCAGAGGAGAGGAGCAAGAGAUUUGGCAAUAUUUUGUCACUAGUAAAAAUGAGCAGUUACAAGUUAAUAGUCCUGGGCAGAUGAGUCUCUGAGCAGCUCAUGUCAAUUUCACCUGGGUUCAUUCAUAAGUGUAAUCUGUCCCGUUUCCAUGUUAAUCUGUGAGGUUGUUUUUGUUUUUAAAGAAAGUUCAGUGCACAAUUUGUAUUUAAAAUCCAUAUUCAGUGCAUGCAUUUCUAAACAUAUUUUUUCCUAAAAUAUACACUUUUAGUACAUUUGGCACUUUUCCAAAGCUGAUCAUAGGAUCACAAAAUUCAGGUGAGAGCCAAAUUCAAAGGUGGUUGUGGUUAUUAUUAUCAUUAUUUUUAAAUUUUAUAUCCCACCUUGUCCUCCAAGAAGCUCAUGGUAGCAUACCUGGUUCUCCUCCUCCACGUUUAAUAUCCACAACAACCCUAAGAGGCAGUGAUUAGCCCAAGGUCACCCAGUGACCUUCAUGGCCAAGUGGGAAUUCAAACCCUGGUCUCCCAGGUCUUAGUCUGAUACUCUAACAAAUGCACCACACUGGCUAAUGAUUAUGUUCCUUAACUCAACCUUAGAUAGAAUUAUUACAUAGCCUUGCUACCCUAGCUUUGGACAUCUGAAAUGUAUAUAUUUUAAAGAACACACCCCACCAUUCUUCUGACUGUAAAUUGUUUUGACCAAUUCUAAUAUUGUCAUUUCAUUGUAACCUUUCGUACAGUCUCUAGUUGUUGAUGACUACAACAACAACAUAAACUAGUAUAACAAGGGCUACACCCGUUAGUUGAUUUAAUAGACUCCUUUAUUUUUUUAAAAAUAAAAAAUAUAUUUUAAUUGUUUAAAAGUGGGCCUGACUAGCUUGUCAGUAGAUUUCCCUUUUUAAAAAAGUUCUAGUUGUUUUAAAUACAAGCAUAUAAGCACAGAGCAAAACUAGAGAUGGUGAGUGCCAUCAGAGAAAAGGCAUUCCCGCCUUUGUUUGACAGGAAAGCCGCUCCCUUAUGUUAAGUCAAAGCUUUGGAUCCAGCACAGAGCAAGCAUGUCUCCUGGUCUCCAGUCCCAGCCUGUUUCCAGCUCAGCUCUCACACUACACAGGCUACUGUUCUCCUACCUAACAGUUUGGUGAUGGGGUGGAGGUGGAGCCUGGAGGGCACCAUCACUUAGUCAUAGUUCUUGCAGCCUAGCUUGUUCUUUUUUGAAUGCUGAUGAAGACACUUAAGCGGCCAGCUUUGUGAAGAAACUUUGUAGAAUCAUAGAACUGUAGAGCUGGAAGGAACUCAAGAGUCACCUAGUCUAUCCCCCCUGCAAUGCAGAAAUCUCCACUAAAGCAUCCAUGACAGAUGUCCACCCAACCUCUGCUUAAAAAUCUCCAGGGACAGAGUGUACACAACCUUGUGAAGGAGUCCAUUCCACUGUCAAACAGGUCUUGCUGUGAAAAUGUACCCCCGGAAGUUUAGUCGGAAUCUCCCUUCUUGUAACUUAAACCACUGGUUCAAGUUCUACCUUCUAGAGCAGAAGAAAACAAGCUUGUUUCAUCUUCCAUGUGAUAGCCCUUUAGAUAUUUGAAGAUGGUUAUAUCACCUCUCAACCUCCUCUUUCCCCAGCUAGUCCAGUUCCGCAAACUCCUCUAUUAGGUUCAAACUCUCACUGGGUACAGGAUCCCAAGAACCGGAAAGACUCAAGGCAUCAUCCAGACUGAACUUGCCCCAAACUCACAACAAGACAUUUAAAGCACAUGGCUCCCCCCUACCCAAGAAUUGUGGAAACUAUCCCAAACAAAUUGACAGAAUUCGCAGAACUUGCAAAUAUGACAGCCAAAAGAAGGAAUCAGGAUGAAAAAAAGACAAAGGGCAAAUGGGAUAGUUUUUUGAAAUAGAUAGAUAGAUAGAUAGAUGAUAGAUAAAGAUACAAAAUCAAUGUACAAACAGGGGUAAUCCUAUGAACAACAGUUAAAUACAAUGAGGGAUUAGAAGUGGGAAAGUAGGGUGGACUAAUAAACUGAUAUGCAGCAAUGCAAGGUUUAUCAAGAGUGCCAUGGAAGGUCAGGCUGAGAAGUCUGCACAGAAAUUAUGUAUGAUGUGUAAUUAUAAAUAUGGAAAAUGCAAAAACAAGAACUAGUGGAAACUGUCAUUUGUGAAUGGUGCUGGGACUUGAGCGGUAAACUACAGUUCACACGAGCAGAUGUCAUGUGCAUUAAAUGUGCUUUAAAAGUACAGUGCAUGCACAGCUUAAGGCUGGAGACAGGCAGCAGAUUUUAAGAAAGCCAAAAGCAUUUUUGAAGGGCUUCAUAAAAAGAUUUAAAAAUAAUAAUUAUUAGAUUCUCAAACCUUUAUUGGCUUAUGUACAAGAUUCCAGUAGGGUUCAAUACACACCCAAAAGAAAACGCAUUCACACAAAAAACCCCUACAUCUAACACUUACGUUAGUGCUGUAUAGUAUUCACAAAUCCUCAUUGUGUGUUGCAGAAACCUGGCUACUAUUUCCAUCUUAUCCCCAUCUUGAGUAAACAUAAGGAAGGCUACCACUUCCCCUCAUUUAUGGAAACAAUUCUGCCACCAUUGCCUGAGUCAAGCAGGAUUUUGCAGGGUUUUUAAAGCAACUUUUUGCCCUCCCCCAACUCCCUGAUUUAUAACCAGAGAUGUUGGGGGUUGAGCCAGGGACCUUCUGCAUGCAAAGCAGGGGUGCUACCACUGAGCUCUGACCUUUCCCCUUAUGCUGGUGUAGUUUCAGUUAAGGCAAACAUAAUUGGCACAUCUAGUUGAGAAGCGGGGACUCAGUUCAGAGUAAACACAUUUCUUUUCU